GAGGAGGAAGAAGCGUAAGCGCGGCAGCGGCGGGGAGCUGAAGGAGUUGGGCUUGACGAGCGAUGAUGAUAGCGAUGACAACGAGUGGGGGACCUCCGACGACGGCGAGGACUCCGAGGGAGAGGCCGACUUCGAGGAGGACGGCGUGGCAGGCCCCAUGGGUGCGACCCUCAUGCCAUCUUUCUCCAUCAGUAUUGCAUUGGAAUCAUCUUUCUCCCUUUCAAACUAGUUCCCCAUGCUGCAGAGGGAUGGGAAUUCAAAAGGAAAUUGAGCCAGGCCUGUCUGCACAUCCUAGCAUGUUAUGGAGGUAGCUGCCCCAUACAGAGCUCAUUUGCUGCCUUGAGGCCCAAAGGGCUACACAGAGAUGUGCGUGGGGCCGAGUGAUGCUGUAAGGUCCAGUGACAUGCAAAGAAUCAUGUGUGGGGGCAAGGGGUGCAGCGAGCAAAGUUGAGAGGCGUUUAUAUUGUGCGCAGGGAUGGCGGUGUCGUUUCUGGCGCGGCAGAAGGGGCGGCUGGCGGCGAGCAAGCAGCGGCGUGUGGCCCAUGUGUGCGGGCAGGCUGUGGAGGGAACCCUGGCGCGCCUGGCCGCCGCCGGGCUCGACACGGCCGCCCUGCCGUGCGCCCCUGUCUGCAUCUUUCCGAGUGGCUCUAGAUGCUACAAUGCUUGCGUUCUGUAAUAUUUUGCGACGUGAGCCAGAAUGUCUUGUUGCACUCUGAUGAUCACGAGACAGCCUGACAUGCGCCCCUGUUGGGUCAUUCUGACUGGCUUCAAUUGCUACCUGACUGGCAUUAAUGGUACCGAAGCUGCUGCACUCUUCAGAUCAUCUUGAGCAAAUUUUCCUUCCCUGUAGCAGAUUUACUCUUGUGCUGUGGAGAAUAUGGAACCGUCUCAGGCGUCAGCUGCUACCAGCUGCCAGCAUAAGUGUUCUGAAGCAGUGGGGCAUCAGUUUCUGGCAAGCUAAUGGAGUAUGGGCGAAUUGCAGGGGUGUGAGGUUGGCGUGUGAGGCGGUGAAGGCAGCGGCAGCAAAGCUGAGCCGCCAGGCAGAACCGCAGGCAAAUCAGAAGGCUAAGAGGGACACGGAGCAGGCUCUGCAGCACCUUGCAGAAGCUGUUGAGGCUCUGCAGUGAUAUGCAGCAAUAUCCACAGGAGAUUCGGGCUGAAAGAUUGCGAGUGCAUGCGCACAUAUUGCUAGAGAUCUCUAGAUGUCAUUCUAUUGCGAGCAGUUCUGCUAUUCGGUAUCUAUGAAUAAAUCUGCAUGGUAUAUAUUCAGAUUGAAUGUUGUGGCAAUGUAAUCCCAGUAUCAAUCGUUGCCUCUACAUGUAAGAGCUGUGAAAUUCAAAAUUUGGUGUGCCAUUCAU
Molecule: long non-coding RNA, 1358 nt
Filed under: Coccomyxa subellipsoidea
Lineage: Eukaryota; Viridiplantae; Chlorophyta; Trebouxiophyceae; Coccomyxaceae
Description: long non-coding RNA (CSUB_LNC000364)
Source: RNAcentral